UUGGUUUUGGUUCUCUCUUAAUCUUUUAAUACGUAUCAAUUUGACCUGUAUUUUUCAAAUUAUGAGUUAUUUUCCGACAAUAGGGUCUAGUCCAAUAAAAAAGGGCUACAGAUUAGAGAUCUCAUAUUCAAAUCCCGAUGGCAUCAUAGUUAUGUGUGUGAGAAAUUUCUAUCCCUUGUAGUUUAGACUAUGGCUUGUAC
RNAcentral lists this long non-coding RNA (200 nucleotides) under Prunus persica (peach). RNAcentral describes it as "long non-coding RNA (PPER_LNC001158)". Lineage: Eukaryota; Viridiplantae; Streptophyta; Magnoliopsida; Rosales; Rosaceae. The record is from RNAcentral.